RNAcentral lists this ribosomal RNA (497 nucleotides) under uncultured bacterium. RNAcentral's name for it is "partial 16S ribosomal RNA". It matches the Rfam family "Bacterial small subunit ribosomal RNA", at positions 28 to 507 of the family's 1533-position model. The record is from RNAcentral.
GACGAACGCUGGCGGCGUGCCUAAUACAUGCAAGUUGAGCGAUGAAGUUUGGUGCUUUCACCCAUUUGAAGAUCAGCGAACGGGUGAGUAACGCGUGGGGAAUCUGCCUUUGAGCGGGGGACAACAUUUGGAAACGAAUGCUAAUACCGCAUAACAACUUUAAACAUAAGUUUUAAGUUUGAAAGAUGCAAUUGCAUCACUCAAAGAUGAUCCCGCGUUGUAUUAGCUCGUUGGUGAGGUAAAGGCUCACCAAGGCGAUGAUACAUAGCCGACCUGAGAGGGUGAUCGGCCACAUUGGGACUGAGACACGGCCCAAACUCCUACGGGAGGGAGCAGUAGGGAAUCUUCGGCCAUGGACGAAAGUCUGACCGAGCAACGCCGCGUGAGUGAGGAAGGUUUUAGGAUCGUAAAACUCUGUUGGUAGAGAAGAACGUUGGUGAGAGUGGAAAGCUCAUCAAGUGACGGUAACUACCCAGAAAGGGACGGCUAACUACGUG